UACGAACCGUGCGAACGUUGUUCGGAUUCACUGGGCUUAAAGGGCGCGUAGGCGGUUUUUUAAGUCUGGGGUGAAAUCCUCUCGCUCAACGAGAGAACUGCCCUGGAUACUGGAGACCUCGAGGGAGGUAGGGGCAUGUGGAACUUCCGGUGGAGCGGUGAAAUGCGUAGAUAUCGGGAGGAACACCUGUGGCGAAAGCGGCGCACUGGACCGCUACUGACGCUGAGGCGCGAAAGCUAGGGGAGCAAACAGG
RNAcentral lists this ribosomal RNA (253 nucleotides) under uncultured bacterium. RNAcentral describes it as "partial 16S ribosomal RNA". It matches the Rfam family "Bacterial small subunit ribosomal RNA", at positions 524 to 776 of the family's 1533-position model. The record is from RNAcentral.